GCCGGGCAUGGUGGCACGCACCUGUAAUCCCAGCUACUUGGGAGGCUGAGGUGGGAGGAUUGCUAGAGUACAGGAGUUCUGGGGUGCAGUGCGCUAUGCGGAUCCAGUGUCCGCACUAAAUUCAGCGUCAAUAUGGUGACUUCCCGGGAUGGGGGACCCCCAGGUUGCCUAAGGAGGGGUGAACCAGCCCGGGUCGGAAAUAGAGCAGGUCAAGAAACUGAGGCCCAAAUAAGAAAAGGUUAGACUAUAGCUGAUAAUAAUGAGUGCUUUUGUUAUCCUCUGAACCAAUGCUGCCCAGUUCUU
Molecule: non-coding RNA, 303 nt
Organism: Fukomys damarensis (Damara mole-rat)
Lineage: Eukaryota; Metazoa; Chordata; Mammalia; Rodentia; Bathyergidae
Source: Rfam